RNAcentral lists this unclassified non-coding RNA (228 nucleotides) under Hevea brasiliensis (rubber tree). The record is from RNAcentral. Lineage: Eukaryota; Viridiplantae; Streptophyta; Magnoliopsida; Malpighiales; Euphorbiaceae.
GUUGAAAAGCAAAUUGCAAAAACUUCUCUCUAAUGAUUUAGAGAGAAAUUUUCCCGUGUUCUAGAGACUUCGUUCUCUCCUUCUGUUGGUUUCAGCAGCUAUCCCUUGCUUGGAGCUAUCCCUUACCCUUCCAAGCAAGGGAUAGCAAGGCUUGUAUAUAAUUUUGGGUUGUGUCUUCCUUUUGUUUUUGCACAUAAAAAGCUAAAUGGUGAAGGAGCUUGUUAUUUU